AUGGGGUGACUGCGUACCUUUUGUAUAAUGGGUCAGCGACUUAUAUUCUGUAGCGAGGUUAACCGUAUAGGGGAGCCGUAGGGAAACCGAGUCUUAACUGGGCGAAUGAGUUGCAGGGUAUAGACCCGAAACCCGGUGAUCUAUCCAUGGGCAGGUUGAAGGUUGGGUAACACUAACUGGAGGACCGAACCGACUAAUGUUGAAAAAUUAGCGGAUGACUUGUGGAUGGGGGUGAAAGGCCAAUCAAACCGGGAGAUAGCUGGUUCUCCCCGAAAGCUAUUUAGGUAGCGCCUCGUGAACUCAUCUUCGGGGGUAGAGCACUGUUUCGACUAGGGGGUCAUCCCGACUUACCAACUCGAUGCAAACUGCGAAUACCGAAGAAUGUUAUCACGGGAGACACACGGCGGGUGCUAACGUCCGUCGUGAAGAGGGAAACAACCCAGACCGCCAGCUAAGGUCCCAAAGUCAUGGUUAAGUGGGAAACGAAGUGGGAAGGCUCAGACAGCCAGGAUGUUGGCUUAGAAGCAGCCAUCAUUUAAAGAAAGCGUAAUAGCUCACUGGUCGAGUCGGCCCGCGCGGAAGAUGUAACGGGGCUAAACCAUGCACCGAAGCUGCGGCAGCGA
This 623-nucleotide ribosomal RNA is filed under the name Proteus mirabilis. RNAcentral's name for it is "bacterial LSU rRNA". It matches the Rfam family "Bacterial large subunit ribosomal RNA", at positions 588 to 1211 of the family's 2925-position model. Lineage: Bacteria; Pseudomonadati; Pseudomonadota; Gammaproteobacteria; Enterobacterales; Morganellaceae. The record is from RNAcentral. RNAcentral also lists the same sequence under 1 other name.